RNAcentral lists this ribosomal RNA (369 nucleotides) under uncultured Burkholderia sp. Its description in RNAcentral is "bacterial SSU rRNA". It matches the Rfam family "Bacterial small subunit ribosomal RNA", at positions 538 to 908 of the family's 1533-position model. Lineage: Bacteria; Pseudomonadati; Pseudomonadota; Betaproteobacteria; Burkholderiales; Burkholderiaceae. The record is from RNAcentral.
GCGUUAUCGGAAUUACUGGGCGUAAAGCGUGCGCAGGCGGUUUGCUAAGACCGAUGUGAAAUCCCCGGGCUCAACCUGGGAACUGCAUUGGUGACUGGCAGGCUAGAGUAUGGCAGAGGGGGGUAGAAUUCCACGUGUAGCAGUGAAAUGCGUAGAGAUGUGGAGGAAUACCGAUGGCGAAGGCAGCCCCCUGGGCCAAUACUGACGCUCAUGCACGAAAGCGUGGGGAGCAAACAGGAUUAGAUACCCUGGUAGUCCACGCCCUAAACGAUGUCAACUAGUUGUUGGGGAUUCAUUUCCUUAGUAACGUARCUAACGCGUGAAGUUGACCGCCUGGGGAGUACGGUCGCAAGAUUAAAACUCAAAGGA